GUGAGGAAUAUUGGUCAAUGGGCGCAAGCCUGAACCAGCCAUGCCGCGUGCAGGAAGACGGUCCUAUGGAUUGUAAACUGCUUUUAUUUGGGAAUAAACUCCGGUACGUGUACCGGCCUGAAGGUACCAAAUGAAUAAGCACCGGCUAACUCCGUGCCAGCAGCCGCGGUAAUACGGAGGGUGCAAGCGUUAUCCGGAAUCAUUGGGUUUAAAGGGUCCGCAGGCGGUCUUAUAAGUCAGUGGUGAAAGCCUACAGCUCAACUGUAGAACUGCCAUUGAUACUGUAGGACUUGAAUUCGAUCGAAGUGGGCGGAAUGUGACAUGUAGCGGUGAAAUGCUUAGAUAUGUCACAGAACACCGAUAGCGAAGGCAGCUCACUAGGUCUGGAUUGACGCUCAGGGACGAAAGCGUGGGGAGCAAACAGGAUUAGAAACCCGAGUAGUCC
This 445-nucleotide ribosomal RNA is filed under the name uncultured bacterium. Its description in RNAcentral is "bacterial SSU rRNA". It matches the Rfam family "Bacterial small subunit ribosomal RNA", at positions 354 to 796 of the family's 1533-position model. The record is from RNAcentral.